CUCAGGCAGGGCCUGGUAUCCCCCAUGCAGAUGUUGUGGCCCUGCUAGAUCUUGGAGGAGAGCCCUGGAUGCAAGGCAGAGGUCUCUCCCAACAUUCCCGCUCAGAUAGAGCGGAAGGGAGAGAGAAAAACAUUGAUGUGAGAGAGAAACAUGGAUCGGUUGCCUCCCACAUGUGCCCUGACCAGGGAUGGAAUCUGCAAGCUGGUGGUGUGUGGGAAAAUGCUUCAGGUUCCAACCACCUGAGCCACAGUGGCCAGAGCUAUGAACAUUCUUGUACAAUGCUUUCAGUGGACCUAUUGUUUUUAUUUCUCUCAGAGCUAGGCUUCUGCCUUUCAUCAUUUCCAUUCAGC
Long non-coding RNA from Pteronotus mesoamericanus, 350 nucleotides. RefSeq lists it as uncharacterized. The transcript has 3 exons. Lineage: Eukaryota; Metazoa; Chordata; Mammalia; Chiroptera; Mormoopidae. The record is from RefSeq and is a predicted model, not a curated record.